Molecule: ribosomal RNA, 253 nt
Filed under: uncultured bacterium
Lineage: Bacteria
Description: partial 16S ribosomal RNA
Rfam family: Bacterial small subunit ribosomal RNA
Source: RNAcentral
UACAGAGGUCCCAAGCGUUGUUCGGAUUCACUGGGCGUAAAGGGUGCGUAGGUGGUAGGGUAAGUCGGAUGUGAAAGCUCGGAGCUUAACUCCGAAAUUGCAUUGGAAACUACCCUGCUAGAGGGUCGGAGGGGGGACUGGAAUACUUGGUGUAGCAGUGAAAUGCGUAGAUAUCAAGUGGAACACCAGUGGCGAAGGCGAGUCCCUGGACGACUCCUGACACUGAGGCACGAAAGCUAGGGGAGCAAACAGG